AGCCCCACUCUAUGCAUUCAGAGUCAAGGCCCAUCCGAGAACCCUGGCGGGCAAGUGGAGGGACAGGGUCCAAUGUGCCUGAGGGUCCACCGUGCAAGACCCAAUGCGCACCCUGGCUCCCAGCCCACCUAUCCCCCCCCCACCUUGGGUCCUGGGAAGCUCUGGAGGUGUGGCCCCCAGCUCGAACUUGCAGGGAACCUCGUGCGCCCGGGGGCUCUGUAUGACUAGGGCACGCCUUUCCGGGACCACAGAAACCGGUUAAACAGACUGCACUCCCCCCCGCCCCCUCCCCCGGGCCUAUCAGCCUUCCGGAGCAAGGGGACUCUGCCAUCAGCCCCUGCCGUCCCCUAGAGCGCCUACACUACACCUCUCUUUUCAACCCUUUACCAUUUUCGAAGAGUAUUUUUCGAGAAGCAAUCAGGGUACAUUUCCUCCCUGGGACCUGGUACUAACAGAUGAAGCUGGGCAGUCUGGCUAACGAGCCCUAGGAUCUGCCUCUGUCUUCUCAGUGCUGAGGAUUACAGCUCGCCUAGCAGGAGAGGCUCUGCCUAAGCAUGCGUGACGCUCUGAGGAUCCCCAGCACCAAACAACGACAGCAUCAACAGAAAACACCAGAGCCACCUGGGAAAGGGGAAAGUUCUGACCCGGGAAGGCAAGCCGAAGGCUGAAGAGGAAAUGUCACUGGGCAGUGACCAUAAUCAUGACUAAAGUUUUCGACAGUCGUGGUGGCUGGCGUGUGCCUGUAAUGCACUCAGGAGGUGGAAGCAGAAGAUUGCAGGCACAAGGUAAGCCGGAUUCCCACUGUGACACUCUGUCUCAAAAAGCAAAAAUUUAGCUGGGCAUCAUGUCACAUAAUAUGCUGGGAGCACUCAGGAGGCACAGCCCUGAGCACAGUCCUGUGUUUGAAUUCCUCCUAGACGAUACAGCAAGACCCUUUCUUAGGAAAAGAACAAAGCAAAGUUUUUCUUCAAACACUGUCAGUGGAUGCUAACACUAUGGGGUGAAAUGUUGGCACUUCUGUAUCAACACAAUCAGCAUCAAAUCCUCCACACACACAAAAAAAUAUUUGGUUUUCUUUUGGAAAGCUGGCGUCAGAAGCAAGAACUCCAGCAUGGUAGACAAGUUCUGCAAAUGUUACAGAACUGUGUCCUGAACCUCGUAAAGGAUAUUUAAUAGUUAUAAAGGGAAGAGGAGUAACUUCACAGUGAGAAAGUUAGCAAAUAACUAACUUCAGCUAUGAUAAAGCUGCUAUGCUAAGUGUGGACUCAUGGUUCCAGCUGCUUGGGAGACUAAGGCCGGAGGAUAACUUGAGCACAGGACUAGACUGGGCAACACAGCAAGGCCUCUAAUUUAACACACUUAGGGGUAGACAAUAGAUUCUGUAUGCUUCUACAGAUGAUCCUCUGAGAGCCGUGCAACUUCCCUUCUGAGACACAGCUAUCCAAAAUUAGCAACUGGAAUCUAAUUAGAAGGAAACAACAAACAACCUAAAAUUCAGGGACAUUCUAUAUAACUGGCCUGCUCGCUCCGUAAAAAUACUAAUGGGUCCUUUUGUGGUUCAUAAGCUUGAUGAUUGGGUUUUUAUACCACAUGUGAGCUCUCCCUGGAGCCUUAUUAUGUGGAAACAUGACUCAUCUGACAUGGAAAAUGUAUUAAGAUAAUAAAAGGUAAAGCCCAAGAAACUGCUCCAGAUUAAAGAGACUUAAAAAGAUGUAAUUUAAUAUAUUCACUGAAUUGGAUCAGACCAGGAACAUGCAUGUGUAAACAUACAUAUGUGCACACAAAAUAAAUGUAUAAAAAAUGUAAAGAAAAACAAGGGAGGUGAAAUGUCCUUUGUUUGGCAGAGUCUUGCUUAGCAUACAUAGUUCCCUGGGCUCCAUCCCAGCAUUGUGUAAAUCUGGGGUCGUGGAGCACACCUGUAACCCAGGAGGCAGGAGGUGAGGCAGGAGGGUCAGGAGUCCCAAACCAUUCUUGGCUACAUAGCAACU
Peromyscus maniculatus bairdii (prairie deer mouse) is the source of this 1988-nucleotide non-coding RNA. Lineage: Eukaryota; Metazoa; Chordata; Mammalia; Rodentia; Cricetidae. The record is from RefSeq and is a predicted model, not a curated record.